UACGUAGGGACCAAGCGUUGUUCGGAUUUACUGGGCGUAAAGGGCGCGUAGGCGGCAAUUCAAGUCAUCUGUGAAAUCUCCGGGCUUAACUCGGAACGGUCAGAUGAUACUGCUUUGCUAGAGUGCGGAAGGGGCAAUCGGAAUUCUUGGUGUAGCGGUGAAAUGCGUAGAUAUCGAGAGGAACACCAGUGGCGAAGGCGGCUCACUGGGCACCACCUGACGCUGAGGCGCGAAAGCGUGGGGAGCGAACCGG
RNAcentral lists this ribosomal RNA (253 nucleotides) under uncultured bacterium. RNAcentral's name for it is "partial 16S ribosomal RNA". It matches the Rfam family "Bacterial small subunit ribosomal RNA", at positions 524 to 776 of the family's 1533-position model. The record is from RNAcentral.